AGCGAACGCUGGCGGCAGGCCUAACACAUGCAAGUCGAACGAACCUUUCGGGGUUAGUGGCGGACGGGUGAGUAACACGUGGGAACGUGCCUUUAGGUUCGGAAUAACUCAGGGAAACUUGUGCUAAUACCGAAUGUGCCCUUCGGGGGAAAGAUUAAUCGCCUUUAGAGCGGCCCGCGUCUGAUUAGCUAGUUGGUUGAGGUAAUGGCUCACCAAGGCGACGAUCAGUAGCUGGUCUGAGAGGAUGAUCAGCCACAUUGGGACUGAGACACGGCCCAAACUCCUACGGGGGGCAGCAGGGGGGAAUCUUGGGCAAUGGGCGAAAGCCUGACGCAGCCAUGCCGCGUGAAUGAUGAAGGUCUUAGGAUUGUAAAAUUCUUUCACCGGGGACGAUAAGGACGGUACCCGGGGAAGAAGCCCCGGCUAACUUC
RNAcentral lists this ribosomal RNA (431 nucleotides) under uncultured bacterium. RNAcentral describes it as "partial 16S ribosomal RNA". It matches the Rfam family "Bacterial small subunit ribosomal RNA", at positions 29 to 504 of the family's 1533-position model. The record is from RNAcentral.